This 514-nucleotide ribosomal RNA is filed under the name Trichocera maculipennis. RNAcentral describes it as "partial large subunit ribosomal RNA". It matches the Rfam family "Bacterial large subunit ribosomal RNA", at positions 1830 to 2601 of the family's 2925-position model. The record is from RNAcentral. Lineage: Eukaryota; Metazoa; Arthropoda; Insecta; Diptera; Trichoceridae.
GUCUUUUUGUAUUAUAUUUAAAGUCUAACCUGCCCACUGAAAAAUUUAAAGGGCCGCGGUAUUUUGACCGUGCAAAGGUAGCAUAAUCAUUAGUCUUUUAAUUGAAGGCUCGUAUGAAUGGUUGAACGUAGUAUUAGCUGUCUCAUAAAAAAUUAAAGUAGAAUUUAACUUUUUAAUUAAAAGGUUAAAAUAAAUUUAAAAGACGAGAAGACCCUAUAGAGCUUUAUAAUAUUUUUGUAUAAUUUAUUUAGAAAAAUUAAAAUAAUACAUAAUUUAUUAUUUUGUUGGGGUGACAAUAAAAUUUAAUAAACUUUUAUUAAUUAUAAACAUUAAUUUAUGAAUAAUUGAUCCAGUUAUAUUGAUUAUAAAAUUAAGUUACCUUAGGGAUAACAGCGUAAUUUUUUUUAAGAGUUCAUAUCGACAAAAAAGAUUGCGACCUCGAUGUUGGAUUAAGGGUUAUUUUUGGGUGUAGAAGUUCAAAGUUUAGGUCUGUUCGACCUUUGAAUCCUUACAU